Molecule: transfer RNA, 63 nt
Filed under: Camelus bactrianus (Bactrian camel)
Lineage: Eukaryota; Metazoa; Chordata; Mammalia; Artiodactyla; Camelidae
Also listed under: 2 other names
Rfam family: tRNA
About the family: Transfer RNA (tRNA) molecules are approximately 80 nucleotides in length. Their secondary structure includes four short double-helical elements and three loops (D, anti-codon, and T loops).
Source: Rfam by way of RNAcentral
UGUAGCUCAGUGGUAGAGCGCAUGCUUAGCAAAUGCCUGAGGUCCUGGGUUCAAUCCCCAGUA